AAAAAUUGGAAAUGGGCAAAUAUCCUAAUUUUUAAAUGGAUUAUUGAAACCAUAAACCAGUGAGGUGAAGGUUUAUUGAUCUCUGCUAUGAAUCUGAAAUGGAUGAUUAAAUUUUUUUAUUGAUUUUGUUUCAACAUAACAUAUAAAUGUUCAGUACAUUCCCAUUUUAUCCCUGGGCUCCCACUACUUAAAUCCUGAAAAAGAGUUAAGUAACAUAUUAAAAAGAGAUUAUUCUAGUAAUCCACCUUUAGUAGACUUGCUGGUAGGGAACUGAUUUAACUGUUCUGGAAAAGAGUUUGGAAGUUAGAAAAGUCACUAAUUUGUUGGUACCAUUAGCCCUAGCAUCACCAUGCUGGGCACAUAUCCCAAGGAGGUUAAAGAGAAAAAGAAAGGCUCCAUACAUGCCAAAAUAUUCAUAUCAGCACUUUUUGUGGUGGUGAAAAAUUCAAAACAAAGUAAGUUUCAAUCAAUUAGGGAAUGACUGAACAAAUUAUGGCUUAUAAAUUUAAUGGAAUAUUAUUGCAUCAAGAAGUUGCUAGAUCCCAGCUAAGCUAGAAAGAUUUCAUGUGAAAUGAGCAGAACCAGAGAACAAUUGUUACAAUGAUCGCAACUUUGUAAAGAAACACAAUUGUGAGAGGACUGAAGGACUCUCGUAAUGCAAUGACCAAACAUGGCUUCAGAAGGCUGAUAAGGAACAUAUUUCCCAGCUCAUGGCAGAGAUGUGCUAGACGAGUUGUACAGAAUGAGAUACAUUUUUCAGACAGGCUCAGUAUGUGGAUUUGUUUUCCUUCAUUCUGCUUAUUUGUUACAGGCCUGGGGGACAGAAACUUGCUCUUUGUUCCCUCCGGAAAAGCUCACCCACCCUCUCCUGGAGCUGGGACCCAACCAUAGAGAGGGCACACAUCCAACUUCUGGAUGGCAUGAAGCAAGCUGGGAUCACUCGGGUCAGGAGCCAACCAGAUUGGGGCGUGCUGAAAUAGGAGCUGAGUCUAACCAGAAGAGCCUCAUCCCAGGACCCAAGGAGGCCCAAGUGCAGACCUACCUAAAAAAUCCUUUGGGGGCUCAGCGAGGUUCCUGUGAAGGAAUUUCAUGGACCAAAGCUCAAAAUAAGCCACCCUUGGGACUUAGCUGUCCGAAAGAACCUGUUCAGUCCUUUGAGGCUGUUUUCUAAGAAAUAGAAGGGACUAAAAACGACCAGAAUUGCAGCCUGGGGGCCUGGGAGCCAGGGAGGAAAGGUAGAGGCCCGUUAGGAACUGCCCAAGAGGGGGAGGGGGGUUGGAGUCUCCUUCGAGUUUUCCAGCCAAAGAUGACCAUUUGUCUGCUGUGUUACAGGCUGGAUCCUUGCUGGGCUGGCUGUGGGUUGACCGACAUGGCCUCUGAAGUCAUUUCCAGCUGGGAGCCUCUGUUUCCUCUGCUCGGCAACCCACAGGUGCACUCCCACAGACAAAGCCAGCACCUGGGAAGUUGCCGUCCCCAUCCUCAUCCCCACCACCUCUCCUCAGCUCUCGUCCCCUCCCCCCCCCCCUUUUCUUUUCCCUUCCACUAGUGCUCCAUUCAGGGCUCAUUCCAGCUAGUGAGGAAGAAAGGGGAGGGGGAGGAAAGGAAGAGGGAAGGGAGCAAAGUUGGGGAAAAGCCCUGGUGGCCCCUUCCUCCCAGAGGGGGCAGAGCAGGGCCUGUGUGGCUUUGCCAGGCUCCCCCUCGCAUUUUUCUGGUGAAGUCUGGGGAGGAGAGGUAAGGGCUGCCUUGUUUCCCAAACUGCCUGAGACUUUCCUCACUUCAUCCCAGUUUCUUUGGGCAUUUUGAUCUGGGAUUGGUGGGGCUCCAGCUGCCUCUUUGGUGCCAUCGAGACCUAGAUGGGCCGGACCCCUCCCCCCUUCCCCUCUCCUCCCCUCCCCUCCCCCUCCCAGUCCAAAUCCGAGCAAGGAGGCAGCUUUUUUAAAUUCCAACUGAUGAGCUUUUGGGUCCUUUCUGGUCUGCAACCACCUCUUCCUGCCCCAACCCCCACCCGGUUUAAUGCCUCGGACCGGAUUCCUGAGCCAGCAGCGCUGGAGCUCGGGAGUUUUCUCCUCCAGAAGCACAAGACUGGCUGAUGACUGAGCUGAAGUUGUAAUGCAGGUACUCUGGCCUUCCCAGGGCUGAAGUCUCUGGCUGAGCCCUGACUGCCGACCUGGGCUUCUCCCCAAAGGGAGAGGUUGAGGUUGGAAUGGAGGAAGGAAGGGAACCUUGGUGGAGGGCGGAGGAUGACCCCCUGAUCUCCUGGAAGACACCCUCCAGGACUGGGGAGUAGAGCAGGGAGGGGAGCAGACACAAUGCCCUGAGCCUGGACCAGCAGGGACCCUCCCUCCGGCUCCAGGAGAGGCAGCCUAGGAGGACAGUAAAAACAGGAGGGGCCUCCCCGACACCCCUUUCCAUGUCCCGACCUGAAUUCCUGGAUGCUGUCCAUAAUCCUGAUUCAGGUCAAUUCAAGUGCCUACAAAGUGCCCUGCACUGUGCUAAGUACGGAGAGCCCAAACCAAAAAAAAAACCCACACCUUGGUCCUGAGGAGAAGCAAACAGCUAUGGACAUUCAAUGCAUAUGUGCCUGAUAAAUUGGAGAAAGGUGCUAGCAUGAAGGGAAAAGCCUUCUUGAAGGUGGGACUGGAGCUGGAUGUUACUGAACAUAUUGGCAGAAUAAUAAUAAUAAUAAUAAUAGUAUUAAUAAGAGUGAACAUUUCCAGAGUGCUUCAGCUGUGCCAGGCACUGUGCAAAGUCCUGGGGACACAGAGAAAUUAAAAAAAAAAAAAAAACCACCAAACAAAAAAACCCCACACCUUGGUCCUGAGGAGAAACAAACAGCUAUGGAUAUUCAAUGCAUAUGUGCCUGAUAAAUUGGAGAAAGGUGCUAGCAUGAAGGGAAAAGCCUUCUUGAAGGUGGGACUGGAGCUGGAUGUUACUGAACAUAUUGGCAGAAUAAUAAUAAUAAUAAUAAUAAUAAUAAUAAUAGUAUUGAUAAGAGUGAACAUUUCCAGAGUGCUUCAGCUGUGCCAGGCACUGUGCAAAGUCCUGGGGACACAGAGAAAUUAAAAAAAAAAAAAACCAAACCACCAAACAAAAAAAAAACCCACAUCUUGGUCCUGAGGAGAAGCAAACAGCUAUGGACAUUCAAUGCAUAUGUGCCUGAUAAAUUGGAGAAAGGUGCUAGCAUGAAGGGAAAAGCCUUCUUGAAGGUGGGACUGGAGCUGGAUGUUACUGAACAUAUUGGCAGAAUAAUAAUAAUAAUAAUAAUAAUAAUAAUAAUAAUAAUAGUAUUGAUAAGAGUGAACAUUUCCAGGAUGCUUCAGCUGUUCCAGGCACUGUGCAAAGUCCUGGGGACACAGAGAAAUUAAAAAAAAAAAACCAAACCACCAAACAAAAAAAAACCCACACCUUGGUCCUGAGGAGAAGCAAAACAGCUAUGGACAUUCAAUGCAUAUGUGCCUGAUAAAUUGGAGAAAGGUGCUAGCAUGAAGGGAAAAGCCUUCUUGAAGGUGGGACUGGAGCUGGAUGUUACUGAACAUAUUGGCAGAAUAAUAAUAAUAAUAAUAAUAGUAUUGAUAAGAGUGAACAUUUCCAGAGUGCUUCAGCUGUGCCAGGCACUGUGCAACGUCCUGGGGACACAGAGAAAUUAAAAAAAAAAAAAACCAAACCACCAAACAAAAAAAAAACCCACAUCUUGGUCCUGAGGAGAAGCAAACAGCUAUGGACAUUCAAUGCAUAUGUGCCUGAUAAAUUGGAGAAAGGUGCUAGCAUGAAGGGAAAAGCCUUCUUGAAGGUGGGACUGGAGCUGGAUGUUACUGAACAUAUUGGCAGAAUAAUAAUAAUAAUAAUAAUAGUAUUGAUAAGAGUGAACAUUUCCAGAGUGCUUCAGCUGUGCCAGGCACUGUGCAAAGUCCUGGGGACACAGAGAAAUAAAAAAAAAAACCAAACCA
Molecule: long non-coding RNA, 3947 nt
Organism: Monodelphis domestica (gray short-tailed opossum)
Lineage: Eukaryota; Metazoa; Chordata; Mammalia; Didelphimorphia; Didelphidae
Source: Ensembl